RNAcentral lists this long non-coding RNA (364 nucleotides) under Sorghum bicolor (sorghum). RNAcentral's name for it is "long non-coding RNA (SBIC_LNC015683)". Lineage: Eukaryota; Viridiplantae; Streptophyta; Magnoliopsida; Poales; Poaceae. The record is from RNAcentral.
CUAUCCCUGUUAUUCCCCGUGAAAUAAAUGCUCGAGAUAUUUUAGUUACUACCACUUGCUACAUUAUUCCAGGAGGGUGAGUGCUCUAAAAAAAGUGAAUACGAGGAAAUAAAAAGGGGCAAGUGCCCGGAACCUCGAAGAAAAGGAAAAGUGAGACGAGAGGUAAAAAUGGACAAUUGUCCGACAGUAGAAUUAGGGGUACAAGAUACCCACCUGAGAGGAAAGAAAAAGAAAAUGUAGAGCAUCUCAUUCUCCUCAAAAGUUUCAAAGAGCAAGAAAGGUAUGUAUCCCCUCAGAAGAGGAAAACUAGAAUUAGACUUUCACCAUUGUUUUCACCAUUAUCACCAUCAUCACCAUACACCAU